RNAcentral lists this transfer RNA (66 nucleotides) under Dalbulus maidis (maize leafhopper). RNAcentral describes it as "tRNA-Glu". Lineage: Eukaryota; Metazoa; Arthropoda; Insecta; Hemiptera; Cicadellidae. The record is from RNAcentral.
CUUCAUAUAGUUUCAUUUAAAACAUUUUAUUUUCACUAAAAAAAAGAUAAAAAAUAUCUAUGAAUG